Molecule: transfer RNA, 75 nt
Filed under: bacterium HR08
Lineage: Bacteria
Description: tRNA-Glu
Rfam family: tRNA
About the family: Transfer RNA (tRNA) molecules are approximately 80 nucleotides in length. Their secondary structure includes four short double-helical elements and three loops (D, anti-codon, and T loops).
Source: RNAcentral
UGCCGCUAUGGUGUAAGUGGUUAACACGCAGGCCUCUCAAGCCUGAGAGUGCGGGUUCAAGCCCCGCUAGCGGCA